GGAGGCCGCGGCGGGGGGAGCGGCCCGAGGAGGACGCGGAGCUCUGCCCGCCCCGGGAGCGGAGCCGGCCCGAGCCGGGACUCCCCCCGCCCCCAUCCGCCGCGCCGGGCGGGGGCCUGGCGCCAGGUCGGGGAAGGCGCUCCAAAGGCUCUCGGAGACCGUGGCGGCCCGGCGGCGCCGGUUGCCCAGCGCACCGGGAGCGGCAAUCCGAGGGCUCCCGGAGAUGUCUUCGCGGGUGGGUGACCUUUUGGAGAGAAUAUCCGCCAUAUAAUUCAUCAGUCCGAAAGGAGCGUUCUCGCCACAGGCAGGUACGAAGUGACAGUGUAAAUGGCAUGUGGUUGGCACAGAGCCACAGCACGUCUGGCUUGGCUUCAGGCAGCAGACUGAAGGAGAGAGCGAGCGAGGGAGAGAAGAUCAAUCUGAAGUCCAAGGCAGAGAAUUACUGGCAUAGGCAUCCCUAG
This 461-nucleotide long non-coding RNA is filed under the name Apteryx rowi (Okarito brown kiwi). Its description in RNAcentral is "lncRNA (ENSARWG00000015666.1)". Lineage: Eukaryota; Metazoa; Chordata; Aves; Apterygiformes; Apterygidae. The record is from RNAcentral.